RNAcentral lists this transfer RNA (76 nucleotides) under Solirubrobacterales bacterium. Its description in RNAcentral is "tRNA-Ile". It matches the Rfam family "tRNA". From Rfam's summary of the family: Transfer RNA (tRNA) molecules are approximately 80 nucleotides in length. Their secondary structure includes four short double-helical elements and three loops (D, anti-codon, and T loops). The record is from RNAcentral. RNAcentral also lists the same sequence under 2 other names. Lineage: Bacteria; Bacillati; Actinomycetota; Thermoleophilia; Solirubrobacterales.
GGGCCUGUAGCUCAAUGGUUAGAGCAGGCCGCUCAUAACGGUCUGGUUGCAGGUUCGAGUCCUGCCGGGCCCACCA